RNAcentral lists this non-coding RNA (30 nucleotides) under Xenopus tropicalis (tropical clawed frog). Lineage: Eukaryota; Metazoa; Chordata; Amphibia; Anura; Pipidae. The record is from RNAcentral. RNAcentral also lists the same sequence under 2 other names.
UCUGUAGGUGAACCUGCGGAAGGAUCAUUA